RNAcentral lists this ribosomal RNA (253 nucleotides) under uncultured bacterium. RNAcentral describes it as "partial 16S ribosomal RNA". It matches the Rfam family "Bacterial small subunit ribosomal RNA", at positions 524 to 776 of the family's 1533-position model. The record is from RNAcentral.
UACGUAGGUAGCGAGCGUUAUUCGGAUUCACUGGGCGUAAAGGGUCCGCAGGAGGCCUGUCAAGUCGGAUGUGAAAGCCCAGGGCUCAACCCUGGAAUGUCAUCCGAAACUGCCGGGCUAGAGUGCAUGAGGGGUAGACGGAAUUCCUGGUGUAGCGGUGGAAUGCGUAGAUAUCAGGAGGAACACCGAUGGCGAAGGCGGUCUACUGGCAUGCAACUGACUCUCAGGGACGAAAGCGUGGGGAGCAAACAGG